GACGAACGCUGGCGGCGUGCCUAAUACAUGCAAGUAGAACGCACAGUUUAUACCGUAGCUUGCUACACCAUAGACUGUGAGUUGCGAACGGGUGAGUAACGCGUAGGUAACCUGCCUGGUAGCGGGGGAUAACUAUUGGAAACGAUAGCUAAUACCGCAUAAUAUUAAUUAUUGCAUGAUAAUUAAUUGAAAGGUGCAAUUGCACCACUACCAGAUGGACCUGCGUUGUAUUAGCUAGUAGGUGAGGUAACGGCUCACCUAGGCGACGAUACAUAGCCGACCUGAGAGGGUGAUCGGCCACACUGGGACUGAGACACGGCCCAGACUCCUACGGGAGGCAGCAGUAGGGAAUCUUCGGCAAUGGACGAAAGUCUGACCGAGCAACGCCGCGUGAGUGAAGAAGGGUUUCGGAUCGUAAAGCUCUGUUGUAAGAGAAGAACGGGUGUGAGAGUGGAAAGUUCACAAUGUGACGGUAUCUUACCAGAAAGGGACGGCUAACUACGUG
Molecule: ribosomal RNA, 505 nt
Filed under: uncultured bacterium
Lineage: Bacteria
Description: partial 16S ribosomal RNA
Rfam family: Bacterial small subunit ribosomal RNA
Source: RNAcentral